This 465-nucleotide ribosomal RNA is filed under the name uncultured bacterium. RNAcentral's name for it is "bacterial SSU rRNA". It matches the Rfam family "Bacterial small subunit ribosomal RNA", at positions 338 to 795 of the family's 1533-position model. The record is from RNAcentral.
CCUACGGGCUGCAGCAGUGGGGAAUAUUGCACAAUGGGCGCAAGCCUGAUGCAGCCAUGCCGCGUGUAUGAAGAAGGCCUUAGGGUUGUAAAGUACUUUCAGUUGGGAGGAAGGCGUUGAUGCUAAUAUCAUCAACGAUUGACGUUACCAACAGAAGAAGCACCGGCUAACUCCGUGCCAGCAGCAGCGGUAAUACGGAGGGUGCAAGCGUUAAUCGGAAUUACUGGGCGUAAAGCGCACGCAGGCGGUUGAUUAGGUUAGAUGUGAAAUCCCCGGGCUUAACCUGGGAAUGGCAUCUAAGACUGGUCAGCUAGAGUCUUGUAGAGGGGGGUGGAAUUCCAUGUGUAGCGGUGAAGUGCGUAGAGAUGUGGAGGAAUACCGGUGGCGAAGGCGGCCCCCUGGACAAAGACUGACGCUCAGGUGCGAAAGCGUGGGGAGCAAACAGGAUUAGAUACCCCCGUAGUC